UGGCUCUGGCAUCGAUGAAGAACGCAGCGAAAUGCGAUAAGUAAUGUGAAUUGCAGAAUUCAGUGAAUCAUCGAAUCUUUGAACGCACAUUGCGCCCCUCGGCAUUCCGAGGGGCAUGCCUGUUCGAGCGUCAUUAGAAGACCGUCAAGCUCCGGCUUGGGGAUUGGGCGUCGUCCCGGCUUGCGGGACGCGCCCCAAAGACCUCGGCGGCGGCCCCGGUGCCUCGAGCGUAGUAGAAACAUCGCCGCUCACGGAGGCCCCGGGUCGCCAGCUCCUAAAAGACCCAUAUCCAAUGGUUGACCUCGGAUCAGGUAGGGAUACCCGCUGA
RNAcentral lists this unclassified non-coding RNA (328 nucleotides) under uncultured fungus. Its description in RNAcentral is "partial contains 5.8S ribosomal RNA and internal transcribed spacer 2". The stretch from base 1 to 133 matches the Rfam family "5.8S ribosomal RNA", at positions 22 to 154 of the family's 154-position model. Lineage: Eukaryota; Fungi. The record is from RNAcentral.